Molecule: long non-coding RNA, 250 nt
Filed under: Vigna radiata
Lineage: Eukaryota; Viridiplantae; Streptophyta; Magnoliopsida; Fabales; Fabaceae
Description: long non-coding RNA (VRAD_LNC011677)
Source: RNAcentral
UCGAACUUCAAAGUGUGGCAUUAAAGAACCGGUGUUUGAGCGUCGGUGCACCCUUAACUGCAGUUCCAACGCCCGUUAAGCAUGUUUACGUAUUAGAUGAACUAACUUCGAUGUCUUUAGAAGCGUUUCCGUCACCACCUUUGUCCUCUAGCUUCCUCUUGUAAUAAUCACACCACAGCCACCAGGGAUCACAAUCACCACUACUAUAUCACCAUUUUAUAAAAGACAAGCUUUCAACUCUCAACUCAGG